This 269-nucleotide ribosomal RNA is filed under the name uncultured bacterium. Its description in RNAcentral is "partial 16S ribosomal RNA". It matches the Rfam family "Bacterial small subunit ribosomal RNA", at positions 524 to 790 of the family's 1533-position model. The record is from RNAcentral.
UACGUAGGGCGCGAGCGUUGUCCGGAAUUAUUGGGCGUAAAGAGCUCGUAGGCGGCCUGUUGCGUCCGCUGUGAAAUCCCGGGGCUUAACCCCGGGCUUGCAGUGGAUACGGGCAGGCUGGAGGCAGGCAGGGGAGAACGGAAUUCCCGGUGUAGCGGUGAAAUGCGCAGAUAUCGGGAGGAACACCGGUGGCGAAGGCGGUUCUCUGGGCCUGUACUGACGCUGAGGAGCGAAAGCGUGGGGAGCGAACAGGAUUAAGAUACCCGUGG